CUUAAUAAAACUUUCAAAACAACAAAUGACAAAGUUAUCAAAUAGAUUCAACCAAACAAGAACCCAUAAUUUAUUUGAACCCUUGAAACUUAAAGAAAGAAAACAACUGACAUAACAAAAUCGAUGGAAGUGAAAGAAUCAACUCAAGGGAAUCAACAACAAUAAACAUUUCAAAAGAAAAAAAGAAACCAAUUUUUUAAAUAAAUAAAAAACUACAAGAGAAGAAGAG
This 229-nucleotide long non-coding RNA is filed under the name Lathyrus oleraceus (garden pea). RNAcentral describes it as "Pisum sativum (pea) long non-coding RNA (PSAT_LNC040366)". Lineage: Eukaryota; Viridiplantae; Streptophyta; Magnoliopsida; Fabales; Fabaceae. The record is from RNAcentral.